AACGAACGCUGGCGGCAUGCCUAACACAUGCAAGUCGAACGAGACCUUCGGGUCUAGUGGCGCACGGGUGCGUAACGCGUGGGAACCUGCCCUUAGGUUCGGAAUAACUCCCCGAAAGGGGUGCUAAUACCGGAUAAUGUCUUCGGACCAAAGAUUUAUCGCCUUUGGAUGGGCCCGCGUUGGAUUAGCUAGUUGGUAGGGUAAAAGCCUACCAAGGCGACGAUCCAUAGCUGGUCUGAGAGGAUGAUCAGCCACACUGGGACUGAGACACGGCCCAGACUCCUACGGGAGGUAGCAGUGGGGAAUAUUGGACAAUGGGCGAAAGCCUGAUCCAGCAAUGCCGCAUGAGUGAUGAAGGCCUUAGGGUUGUAAAGCUCUUUUACCCGGGAUGAUAAUGACAGUACCGGGAGAAUAAGCUCCGGCUAACUCCGUG
Molecule: ribosomal RNA, 433 nt
Filed under: uncultured bacterium
Lineage: Bacteria
Description: partial 16S ribosomal RNA
Rfam family: Bacterial small subunit ribosomal RNA
Source: RNAcentral